GGUUCAUUCAAAUUUCUGCCCUAUCAACUUUCGAUGGCUGGGUCUUGGCCAGCCAUGGUAGCAACGGGUAACGGAGGGUUAGGGCUCGACCCCGGAGAAGGAGCCUGAGAAACGGCUACUACAUCCAAGGAAGGCAGCAGGCGCGCAAAUUACCCAAUCCCGACCGGGGAGGUAGUGACAAUAAAUACUGAUACAGGGCUCUUUUGGGUCUUGUAAUUGGGAUGAGUACAAUUUAAAUCCCUUAACGAGGAACAAUUGGAGGGCAAGUCUGGUGCCAGCAGCCGCGGUAAUUCCAGCUCCAAUAGCGUAUAUUAAAGUUGUUGAGGUUAAAAAGCUCGUAGUUG
This 344-nucleotide ribosomal RNA is filed under the name uncultured fungus. Its description in RNAcentral is "SSU rRNA". It matches the Rfam family "Eukaryotic small subunit ribosomal RNA", at positions 292 to 636 of the family's 1831-position model. Lineage: Eukaryota; Fungi. The record is from RNAcentral.